AUUGAACGCUGGCGGCAGGCCUAACACAUGCAAGUCGAACGAGUGGCGGACGGGUGAGUAAUGUCUGGGCAACUGCCUGAUGGAGGGGGAUAACUACUGGAAACGGUAGCUACUACCGCAUACCAUCGGAUGUGCCCAGAUGGGAUUAGCUAGUCGGUGGGGUAAAGGCCCACCUAGGCGACGAUCCCUAGCUGGUCUGAGAGGCUGACCAGCCACACUGGGACUGAGACACGGCCCAGAAUCCUACGGGAGGCAGCAGUGGGGAAUAUUGCACAAUGGGCGAAAGUCUGAUGGAGCCAUGCCGCGUGUAUGAAGAAGGCCUUCGGGUUGUAAAGUACUGUCGGCGGGGAGGCGUUACCCGAAGAAGAAGCACCGGCUAACUCCGUGCCAGCAGCCGCGGUAAUAC
Molecule: ribosomal RNA, 406 nt
Filed under: uncultured bacterium
Lineage: Bacteria
Description: partial 16S ribosomal RNA
Rfam family: Bacterial small subunit ribosomal RNA
Source: RNAcentral